GAAGACGCAUGACGGUACACCAAGAAUAAGAGACGGCUAACUACGUGCCAGCAGCCGCGGUAAUACGUAGGUCUCAAGCGUUAUCCGGGUUUGCUGGGCGUAAAGUAUCCGUAGCCUGAUAUGUAAGUCUGUUUUCAAAUCCCACGACUCAAUCGUGGAAAGGGAAUGGAUACUGCAUAUCUAGAAGUUAUUGGGGGUUAGUGGAAUUUCCGGUGGAGUGGUGAAAUGCGUUGAUAUCGGAAAGAACGCCGAAAGCGAAAGCAGCUAACUAUGAUUAACUUGACGGUGAGGGAUGAAAGUUUGGGUAGCAAACGGGAUUAGAUACCCCGGCAGUCCAAACUGUAAAUUAUGCUUGCUAGGUGUUUCGAUCCUUGUGGUCGGAGUGCCGUAAUCUAACGAGUUAAGCAAGUCGCCUGGGUAGUAUAUUCGCAAGAAUGAAACUCAAAGGGAUAGGCGGGGGAACACACAAGCAGUGGAUUAUCUAGAUUAAUUGGAUAAUAAGCCAAGAAUCUUACCUAGAAUUGACAUGCAUUGUGUCUCAUAUGAAAGUAUGAUAUUUGUAGCAAUACAGAGCUUUGCACAGGUGGUGCAUGGUCGUCGUCAGCUCGUGCCGCAAGGUGUCCAGUUAA
Molecule: ribosomal RNA, 629 nt
Filed under: uncultured candidate division SR1 bacterium
Lineage: Bacteria; Candidatus Absconditibacteriota
Description: bacterial SSU rRNA
Rfam family: Bacterial small subunit ribosomal RNA
Source: RNAcentral